Molecule: long non-coding RNA, 1652 nt
Organism: Monodelphis domestica (gray short-tailed opossum)
Lineage: Eukaryota; Metazoa; Chordata; Mammalia; Didelphimorphia; Didelphidae
Source: Ensembl
CUUGAUCUCUAAAUCAGGUGGGGCAACUGAGGAUUUCAAGAUAAAGUCCCUUCGGCAGGUGGCCUGUGUCUCAUCCGGCCCUGGGGUUUGGGGCAGCGACUCAAGCCCGAGGGCAGGGGUGGGAGAGCGGUUCAGGAGGGAACAUCUUAGAAUAUAUUUUUCAGAAUCUGCCCUCAUGCUACACAAAAUCCCUCCCGCCGCUACCACUGGGGCAAAGAAGCCUUGGAAUGUUCUUCCAGUCCCACUCUUUGCUUACUGUCUGGUCCUAGGCUGCGAUGCUUUGGAUGUAAGACGACCCUAAUUAGGCGAGAGGAAAUUUCAUCCUAGAAGGUUAAGAGAAAUCUUGAUAAGUCUUUGAACCAAAUCUCCUUGGAAAGUUGAACCUGAUUUAUAGACACAUGCUGCGAUAUGCCUAUAUAGACAUAUAUGUUAUAAAGAAUUACUUCGAGACAACUUUUAUGGUGUUCACCGGGGGUAAGGGAUGAAUGUGUCCUCGAGUGUGCGAAUACUCGAUGUUUUUGUGCCACAUAAGCCCUACACGUGCGAGUGUCUUUUGCCCCUCUCUCUCCUAAUCCUCUGAGAAAUCUCCGAAGUUCCCUAGUUGGUUCAAAGUUACCUAAACCUGCAGCGCACCCCCAAAUGACAAAGACUCCUCUGUGUCCCUCUCCUUCUCGCUCCCAAACCCCCUUGCGGAGUCUGAGGAGGUCAGGAGGGUUUGGGAGGAGAAAGGGGUCGAGGGAGGGAAAAAGUGUAGGAGGGAUAGACCGAGAAGGGGAGGGGGAGGAGCUCUCUCCUUCCUAGGGAAAACCCCCCGCCCCCACUUCACCUCUCAACCCCACCCUUCAAAAAAUCAAUACCCUAAACCUAAACCCACUGGGAUGCGCCCAAGUCCACCCGACGUAUAGGGAAUCGACAGCCCCCCUCCCUUCUUUCACGUCCCCCUCCCUCUCGUUCCUCCUCCCCCCUCCCAGCACGGGCUCCUACAUUAAACCUUUGAUCACGCACAGAAAGAAUGUGCUACUAUCCCCGCGCUGCCGCCGCCGCCGCCGCCGCCGCGCCGGAGCCCGAGCCCGAGCCCGAGCCCGAACCCGCGGGCCCUUCCGGAACGCCGGCGCCGCCUCUCGGAACGCACGGGCCCGGGGCGGCUCCGCGGCUGCCGGGCCAGGCUCUUAGCGCACCCGGAGCCGCCUCGUUUGCUUCGGCGGCCGCCACCUCCCCGCGGCUUCCCGGGUCUCUCCUUGGCUCUUGACGCAGUCUGGAGCUGCAGCCGGGUUUCCUCUCCUCUCCUCUCCGCUCUCUCCUCUCCCAGUCUCAGGCCAAGCCCAGCCCGGCCCCGGGAGGGGGGGGGGGGGAGGGAGAUUUGUCUUGGAGCAACCUGCCACCCGAGCUCGGGGAGGAGGAAGAGGAGGAGGAAGGAGGGGAAGCCGUCGCCGCCACCAACACAGCCGCCACCUGCCACCGCUUCCCGCUGCCUCUGCUGGGGAUCUCAGCGCGCGCUCUCCGGGAGCUGUACCCCACCCCCUCCCGUAGCCCGCCCCAGGACACCCCGGGUUCAGACACUGACUCGAGUGGGAGCCCCGGGGCAGAGCGGCGGCUCUCUCCUCGCCCGCGUCGAGGGAGAAGGAGCGAGUGAUCGAACGCAAGCCACGUAG